Callorhinus ursinus (northern fur seal) is the source of this 1006-nucleotide non-coding RNA. The record is from RefSeq and is a predicted model, not a curated record. NCBI's taxonomy places the organism in Eukaryota, Metazoa, Chordata, Mammalia, Carnivora, Otariidae.
UUCUGGCAGGAGGACCUCGGUGGGGCAGGGUGGGGCAUUUGGGGCCUUGCUUUGCUGCCAUUGAGCACCUGGCCUUUGCCUGGUCAGUCUGGGAAGCUCUGACCAAAUGUCCCUGUUUCCCAGGGAAGGGGACGGUAGAGGGUAAGGCCUAGAGGGCAGGCUUCUGAGGUGGCUCUUGCUUCAAACAGUGCUGUCAUUGACUAGCUGAUUGUGGACAAGUGACUUAACGCUGUUUGUUCCUCUUUCCUCAUCUGUCGGACAGGAGUCAUGGUUAUGUUUACCUAAUAGGAUUGUUGGUGGAACAAAUGAGCAAUGUCAAGUACUUAAGGCAUCAACCUCGGCCAGGGACUGCCUCUUCCCGGAACCUCAGUUUCCUCCUAGGUAAAAUGGGCUAGCAAUGCCGGACUUCACAAUUGUUGGGUCACGUAAGAGUGGAUGUAAAAGGUGUCAUAAACCAGAGGGUCUCCUGAUCUGUGCCAUGAAGCCAACAUCAAGGUCUCAUUAUCCGUCCUGAUAUUGGUCUCUAGCCUAGGUAGGUGUUUGGGCCUACAGCAAGGAGGCUGCUGAGGCCCAGCAGAAGUGUGUGGCCAAGUGGGCAGACCACUCAGGCUUGGGAAUCAGGCUCAAAGCUCAUCCAUCCAGCAAACAUUUACCAAGCACCAGGCUUCAUGCUUCGCCCCGUGCUGGGUGUUGGGGAUACAGCUACGGAUAAGACAGAACGCACUUACCGGUUUGAAUCCUGCCCCAGCACUCACCAGCCAUGGAGCCUUACACCAGCCACUUAGCUCCUCUGAGCCUCACUUUCCUGAUCUGAAACCUAAAAGUUAAUGUCCCUGAAGAUUGAACUCCUAUUUAGCACUCAGAAGUGGUAACUGUGUGGGACGCCUGGCUGGCUCAGUCGGUGGAGCGUGCGACCCCUGCUCUCGGGGUUGUGAGUUCCAGCCCCAUGUUGGGUGUAGAGAGGACUUAAAAAUAAAAUCUUUAAAACAACAACAACAAAAAGAGC